Long non-coding RNA from Vidua chalybeata, 2492 nucleotides. RefSeq lists it as uncharacterized. The record is from RefSeq and is a predicted model, not a curated record. NCBI's taxonomy places the organism in Eukaryota, Metazoa, Chordata, Aves, Passeriformes, Viduidae. The transcript is spliced from 4 exons.
CAAUGAAGCAGAAGGGAGGCAGAUUCCGAGAGCCCCGAAGGGCGGGGUGAGGAUUCUUUUACUGCGUAGGGGUAGGAGGGUUUAGCAUUCGAGGGUACAAUCGGGAUGUGAUAAACUGUGGUAACUUGUUUGUUCAUCAAAGGAAUUGGAAUAUUAAAGGAGGAAAAAUAAAAUUAAAGUAUGAGGGACUAGCUUGCUUGUUAGGAGAUAGGGGAAGCAUCUGUGAAGUUGGGAAACAGCAACUUGUGGGUUUUACUAAAAAAGGACAAUAAAGAAGCAACUGCUACAAACCGCAAGGCUAUAGGCAUAUUGCAAGGCUAUAGACAUAUUGCAAAACGCAAGACCGCAAGUAUGAUUAAUCACCAUUUAGGGAGCUUUUCUUAGCUUCUCUUGCAGACACAGGCUAAGGAUGUUGGGGGAUGGCCGGAGCUGAUUAUGAAAUCAGCGACCACCAGGCAACAGCCACCGGACUAGACAACGUAGGAGUGCUCCGGGUACGCCCAUCACUGUCCGGAACCGAUUGUGAAACCAACGAUCACCUGCCUCGACACAACGCAGACACGAUGCAGAGGGAUGCUCAAGCUACGCCCACCGCUAUCACAAGAGACGCGAAUGAAGAAACCUCCAAGAAACUAUAAAAGAGACUGAAUAAUGGGGGGUGGGGUGUGGGGCACUGCAGUGUGGGACACUGCAGGAGGGGCGGUUAGGAGACCCCUACCCACCCAGCGCUGUUUUGCUUGCUACUGCUUGCUGUAAUUAAUAAAAUUCCAAUUGACCUUCAAAAGGCUGAAUCAAAUUAUUUGCCUCAAUUUAUCACAGGGAGAAGGCUAAAGGGAGGGGAAAUAUAACAUUAACCAGUGGGGAAAAGGGAAAGGAGUGUUCUUGGUGGAAGAACUAAAGGGAAAACGUGGAACAGAGAAGAUUCUAGGCUAAGGGGCAGACUUGAACAAUAACUGACAAGACAGGGGGAGGGUACAAUUCUCUUACAAAAGGGGGUGGAGAACUCAUACAACUGCUGUUUCCCAUGGCAACCCUAGACUGCCUUCCCCAACCCCUCCUCCUACACCAGUGACAGCUUUUCACACUGAAGGGCAGUGCUAUUGUAUAACAAACACUUAACUCUUAGCCCAGCCGGGCUCGCUGGCUACUUUUGCAAGCUUUUUACCAACUAGCGAUGCUUGUAAGCGGUGCUUGUAACUCCUAGCUUGUACCACGCUCCCACUAGCUGCGCUAUCAGCUAGCGGCGUUCAAAGCAGCUCCUCAAACCGCGGCUUGUGCCCGCGCGCCCGCUGCGCUAUCAGCUGGGCUGCGCCUAAAGCACCUUUGCAAGCCCCGACUUAAGCCCCGCGCCGCGCUCCCCUCGCUCGCCAGGGACAGCCCGUGCCACGCAUGCGCACCACCCGCUCUAUCAGGUAGAGUGCGCACUACCCGCACUAUCAGGUAGUGUGGCUGAGAGCUGCCCUGCGCAUGCGCCCCACCCGCUCGAUCAGGUAGAGUGGCUGCUAGCCGCCCCGAGCAUGCGCACUACCCGCACUAGCAGGUAGUGUGGGCUGAGAGCUGCCCUGCGCAUGCGCUCUCUAGCACUGCCGCGCCGCCUCUCUCUAUCUUAGCAACGCCGCACCGCGCAUCACCGUUCCACUCACACAUGCACACACACGCACAAGCACGCACGUCCGGACGUAACAGACACACUACACUGCAAUCGGGACACACACCACACACUGAAAUCGCGAUUUCGCCCUCCCCGAGCCGCGCUAUCAGCUGGGGAGGUCCUCCCGCCGCCGGCCUCUCCCCCGAUGGCGGUCUGCUUGCAAGCCCCUAGGCAAACCUGCGCGCAAAAACAUCUUUUUGCGACUUAUCAGUGCCAACCUUAAGAAAAUAAAUUAAUACAUACCGCUUUCAUCCGCUAGUCGACGGGCCGUGGCAUGCUCCCCGCAGUGUACAGCCGAGGCGCAGAGUCCCUCCGGGGAAAAGCCCCGUGGCGCCUGAGGGUGUCUGCUCCCAAUCGGACCUGCGGGUGAGCAGAGCAGUCCCUUCGUGGUCGCCAACUGAAACGAUACGCGGAAUAAAUCAAUAGACUCCAUAACCUGGGGUAGUUAUGAAGUGGGUAUGUACGUCAGCGCCCGGCACAAGUGAGAUAGCUCUCCAAAACUUGUGCCCCGAGCCUCAGUCUGACCCACACUUUUAUUCUUAAAGACGUUCCAUAUGCAAUACACUGCACGACUUUUUCAUGCGUAUUCAACCCCUGGCCCCGCCUGUCCUCGCGUCUCAUGCUAAAGCUGUCACAGAGCAGAAGAGCAGCUGAGAUGCUGAAAAGCAGCAAAGCUGAACAGCCUGCCUCAGCUUCAGCAGUGUGCAAUUGACUGAAGGCAAAACACGAAGCAGCAGAGCAGCGGGCUUCUCUGCCACCGUGUUCUCUGCAUCUCGGAGCCUCUGGGGAGCAACAAGAAUUUCCAAGGUGGUGUAAGAGCCCGUCUGAAGCCCCUCAUUUU